CUGCCUUGAUGUGAUACGUGACACAGUUUUGUGUACAUGGGAGACAGACACUGAUUUUAUAAUGUCUGUAAUGCCUCUCUCUAUAAUGUCUGUAAUGCCUCUCUCUCUCUCUGAACAAUGAAAUAUGUAAGCGGAACAAAAAAUUAUAUCUGAAAGGACUAAUCUCGUUUAUCCCAUUUUUAAAGUGUGUUGACAACAUAUUUCACUUCACAAACACCCAGUAACAUAUUACAGCCAGUCUAAUAUUUUAAUGAAUUUCGACAUAUGAAAUAUACCUUCAGAUAUUCAUGAAUUUAAAAAAACCUUUCUGGGAUAACUGUCCAACCGUAUCAUAACCAUUGUCUUUGUUUUUGUUGUCUAUGUUUUUGUUGUAAACAAAUGUCCUGUUCUGCUUGAAAUUGAUCUUCUGAUAUUCAUAUCAUCUCAUUCCUAUCAUAGAAAUAAAGUGGUAUUUAUGUUGUAUGUAAACAAGAUAUAACAGAUGCAGUUGGCACACAAUAAUAAUUAUUGAAAUGUGACUUAAGGGAAGUGAAUGUCUUUUCAGGUAAUGGAUUGCAUUUAAUUUAAUUUCGUUAUUAAUCCGGUACAUAAAACGAACCCAGCAUUUUCUUCAUUCAAAGUAUGAGUAAUAGUGAAUUACAAAACAGUAUAAAUACACCAUUCAGUUACAAUAAGUAUUAGUGCAGUAAGUAGAAGGAAUAACUAUCAAGAUUCUUAGAAUCCUGUUGAUAAUUGGUAGAACAGCUAUCUCUUUUUUUACAUUAUCCUCAUGCUGUUCAAUAUUCUCAUGUUCUCCAUAGAAAUUAAUCUUUUCCCUGUACAUUUUGGGGUAAUAAAUAAUAAUAAAUAGUAUACAGUUCUAAUAAUUAAUAUGAUUACAUUGUUGGUAAGUUUCCCUGUCACAGUGGUGAUCAGUUAUAUCAGUAUUAGUCAAGCAGUUGUGACAACAUAACAAGACAGAUGAGUAGACGUGUCUUGUAGCUUAUUCCACUGAAGGCGGCAGCAUUGUUUAUUGUUGAUUCAACAACAGAUGUUGUUGAAGCAGCUGUGUUUGGUGUAGGACCAGCUGUUGUUGUUGUGGGGGUGGCUGUGGUAGUUGCGGCAAAUGUGGUGGCUGCAGAAGUUGUAGUUCCUGUAACACCACAGAAGUUAUCUCAUAAAAAGGUACCCAAUAUAGAGUGCCAUGAGUCAAUGAGGAGAGGGACGACAAUGACAAGGUCAGCAGUGAUGGCUUAACUUACUUGCAGUAAUGGAGGUUGUGUCAAUGUCGAGGAAGGUGUUCCCGUGAGACAGAGAGUCAUUCAAUCCCUGCUCCACACUCGUUACAUUGGGAACUACUGUCUGGUUCUUGAAAAUAAGGGUCAUGUUGACAAUAAUUGACCCUCUCCUGUAAACGAAAUAUAUAAAGAUUUAGUUUUCAUUUCGAGGUCAGAUCUUAAACCGUUGUUUCCAAGAAAGUAUUAAGAAAACAAGACAAGGUAUAGUAAUUAUUUGUAUUUGUUUUCUUAAUAUACACUGCUCAAAAAACAACACAAUGUACAACACAAUGUAACUCCAAGUCAAUCACACUUCUGUGAAAUCAAACACUGAUUGACAAUAAAUGUCACAUGCUGUUGUGCAAAUGGAAUAGAAAACAGGUGGAAAUUAUAGGCAAUUAGCAAGACACCCCCAAUAAAGGAGUGGUUCUGCAGGUGGUGACCACAGACCACUUCUCAGUUCCUAUGCUUCCUGGCUGAUGUUUUGGUCACUUUUGAAUGCUGGCGGUGCUUUCACUCUAGUGGUAGCAUGAGACGGAGUCUACAACCCACACAAGUGGCUCAGGUAGUGAAGCUCAUCCAGGAUGGCACAUCAAUGCGAGCUGUGGAAAGAAGGUUUGCUGUGUCUGUCAGCGUAGUGUCCAGAGCAUGGAGGCGCUAGCAGGAGACAGGCCAGUACAUCAGGAGAUGUGGAGGAGGCCGUAGGAGGGCAACAACCCAGCAGCAGGACCACUACCUCUGCCUUUGUGCAAGGAGGAGCAGGGGUGAGCACUGCCAGAGCCCUGCAAAAUGACCUCCAGCAGGCCACAAAUGUGCAUGUGUCUGCUCAAACGGUCAGAAACAGACUCCAUGAGGGUGGUAUGAGGGCCCGACGUCCACAGGUGGGGGUUGUGCUUACAGCCCAACAUGUGCAGGACGUUUGGCACUUGCCAGAGAACACCAAGAUUGGCAAAUUCGCCACUGGCACCCUGUGCUCUUCACAGAUGAAAGCAGGUUCACACUGAGCAGAUGUGACAGAGUCUGUAGACGCCAUGGAGAACGUUCAUGUGGCUGGAGUGUGUCAGCAGUUCCUUCAAGAGGUAGGCAUUGAUGCUACGGACUGGCCCGCCCAUUCCCCAGACCUGAAUCCAAUUGAGCACAUCUGGGAAAUCAUGUCUCGCUCCAUGCUUUAGUCCAGGUCUGGGAGGAGAUCCCUCAGGAGACCAUCCGCCACCUCAUCAGGAGCAUGCCCAGGCGUUGUAGGGAGGUCAUACAGACACAUGGAGGCCACACACACUACUGAGCCUCAUUUUGACUUGUUUUAAGAACAUUACAUCCACGUUGGAUCAGCCUGUAGUGUGGUUUUCCACUUUAAUUUUGAGUGUGACUCCAAAUCCAGACCUCCAUGGGUUAAUACAUUUGAUUUCCAUUGAUCAUUUUUGUGUGAUUUUGUUGUCAGCACAUUCAACUAUGUAAAGAAAAAAGUAUUUAAUAAGAAUAUUUCAUUCAUUCAGAUCUAGGAUGUGUUAUUUUUGUCUUCCCUUUAUUUUUUUGAGCAGUGUAUUAUUCAAACUUAUAUCACCAUCACUGUUAUUUUGAGAUAAUUCUAUUUGAAUGGAGAGAUUCAUAGACAUACAGAAACAAUUAUUGUUACUUACGUGAACUGAAUAAUCCUACACCUUACGUAUGUUGAAGGGUAAAUUCUUUUGUAACCAUGAUUCACCUGUAAACAAAUUAGUGUCAAUAAUUUUGAUACUAAUUAAGUCAGUAACUAAGUCAGUGACACCAUGUUAAUGACACAAUGUUUUUAAAAGAUGAGCUGAUUACCUCUGUGGUAACAUUUUCUGCCAGUUCCUGAUAUGCUGUUGUGGAAGAAUCAGUAUAGUCACUUUGGAAUGCACGGAACAUUCUGAAUCCUAAUCCCAUUGACCCCUCAUUCGCUGUCGGUGCCGCUGUUGACUUAGUUGUGGUAGCGGUGGCAGUUGUGGGAACAAUUUUGGUUGUCGUUGGUACAGUGGUGUUUGUGGCAGAAGCUGUGGAUGUUAUAGGAGCAGCUGUGGUUGUUGUAACGAAAACUGUGGUUGUAGUUGGAGCAUCUGUAGUUUUUGUGGCAGAAGCUGUGGUUGUUGUUUUGUCAGCUGUGAUUGUAGUUGGAGAUGCUGUGGUUGUUGUGGCAGCAACUAUGGUUGUUGUGGCAGCUGCUGUGGUUGUGUUGGCUGCUGCGUUGGUUGCAGUUUGAGCAGCUGUGGUAGUAGUGGCAGCAGCUGUGGUUGUUGUGGGAGAAACUGUGGAUGUUGUGACUCCAUUUGUGGUUGUAGUUGGAGCAUCUGUGGUUGUCGUGACAGGAGCUGUGGUUGUAGUAGGAGCAGUAGUGGCUGUGGUGGCAGCUCCUGUGAUUGUGGUGGUUGCUGCUGUUGUUGUAGUCGAAGCAGCUGUGGUUGUUGUGAUGCCUGCUGUGGUGACUGUAGCGGCACCUGUGGUUGUGAUGGCAGCAGCUGUGGUUGUUGUGGCAGCAGCUGUGGUUGUUGUGGCAGCAACUGUGGAUGUUGUGACUCCAUUUGUGGUUGUAGUUGGAGCAUCUGUAGUUGUCGUGACAGGAGCUGUGGUUGUAGUAGGAGCAGUAGUGGUUGUGGUGGCAGCUCCUGUGAUUGUGGUGGUUGCUGCUGUUGUUGUAGUCGAAGCAGCUGUGGUUGUUGUGAUGCCAGCUGUGGUGACUGUAGCGGCACCUGUGGUUGUGAUGGCAGCAGCUGUGGUUGUUGUGGCAGCAGCUGUGGUUGUUGUGGGAGAAACUGUGGAUGUUGUGACUCCAUUUGUGGUUGUAGUUGGAGCAUCUGUGG
This is a long non-coding RNA of Oncorhynchus tshawytscha (Chinook salmon), 4072 nucleotides long. The record is from Ensembl. NCBI's taxonomy places the organism in Eukaryota, Metazoa, Chordata, Actinopteri, Salmoniformes, Salmonidae.